RNAcentral lists this ribosomal RNA (384 nucleotides) under uncultured prokaryote. RNAcentral's name for it is "bacterial SSU rRNA". It matches the Rfam family "Archaeal small subunit ribosomal RNA", at positions 341 to 725 of the family's 1478-position model. The record is from RNAcentral.
GCGAAAACUUUACAAUGCGGGGAACCACGAUAACGGGACACCGAGUGCCAGCAUCCUAUGUUGGCUGUCCAUAUGUCUAAAUCACAUGUGUUAGCAAGGGCCGGGCAAGACCGGUGCCAGCCGCCGCGGUAACACCGGCGGCCCGAGUGGUGGCCACUAUUAUUGGGUCUAAAGGGUCCGUAGCCGGUUUGGUCAGUCUUCCGGGAAAUCUGACGGCUUAACCUUUAGGCUUUCGGGGGAUACUACCAGGCUUGGGACCGGGAGAGGUAAUAGGUACUACGGGGGUAGGAGUGAAAUCUUGUAAUCCCUGUGGGACCACCAGUGGCGAAGGCGUCUUACCAGGACGGGUCCGACGGUGAGGGACGAAAGCUGGGGGCACGAACC